GGCUCUAUGUUUAAAGGUAAUUCAAUGAAGCAUAGAAAAAGACAAUUUGUACUUGAUGAGAACAGGCGUAACACAUACAGCCAAUUAUCAGCUGGUGGACGGGAACCAUCUGUGUUGGCUACUUUUGAUGCAGAGAGGAAGCAGCUGAUGGCUGUAGGGCUUCUGUCAGAGCAUGGUUAUGCAAGGAGCUUAGCUCGAUUUGCCGCAAAUAUUGGCACCAUUGCAUGGAAAAUUGCUUCGAAAAAAAUUGAGAGGUCUUUGCCAUCUGGAGUUAUGUUUGGCCCUGGAUGGGUUGGGGAAAAGGACAUCCCACCACAGAGGGCAUUGCUUCUUUCUUCAAACCCUCAAGGCCUGCCAUCACCAUCACGGCUUCGCAGACUUCCCAAAGAUUCAUGUGCUGUUGUCGCAUCUUGCAGUGUUGAAUUGAGAGAAAAACUGUCAGAAAAACCUGAAAUGAAUGUGAGCAAGAAUGAGGUACCUCAAAUUCACUCGGCUUCAGGGGCACCACAACUAACCAAUGAUCUUUCAUCAUCUGCCUCAACAUCUACACUCCAUGCAGCUGCUAGUAAAUCUGAACCUUGCGCGGAGGCAGCAGUUGACGUAUUUAACUCUCACGGGCGUUUUAACAUCCUCAACAGCAAUACAAGUAUGAGCAGGCCAAGGCCUCCAUUUCAGAUUCAUCAGAGCCAUGAAUUUCACCCUGGCAUGAAUGGAUUCAAUGGCACCCNNNCUUCCAGCCCAGAUGGGAAAACUAGUUGGGGCUGCCAGGCCUGCUGGGAUUAACUUUCGGCCAUCUCUGACUGACAGAGUCUCCGCUACUAAUGCUAACUUUGUCCAUCCAUCAACAGAAAACAGCGUGAACUUAAAAAAUCCAAAGCUUUCCGAGAAUUCCUCUGCAAUAAAUUCCAGUGGUGCACUACCAAAUUCUGGUAACGAAAAAAAGGAAGCCCCAAUAUCUGGAUACGAACCCCGG
This 973-nucleotide unclassified non-coding RNA is filed under the name Hevea brasiliensis (rubber tree). The record is from RNAcentral. Lineage: Eukaryota; Viridiplantae; Streptophyta; Magnoliopsida; Malpighiales; Euphorbiaceae.